Molecule: ribosomal RNA, 503 nt
Filed under: uncultured bacterium
Lineage: Bacteria
Description: partial 16S ribosomal RNA
Rfam family: Bacterial small subunit ribosomal RNA
Source: RNAcentral
AUUGAACGCUGGCGGCAGGCUUAACACAUGCAAGUCGAGCGGGGUGAUGGUGCUUGCACUAUCACUUAGCGGCGGACGGGUGAGUAAUGCUUAGGAAUCUGCCUAUUAGUGGGGGACAACAUCUCGAAAGGGAUGCUAAUACCGCAUACGUCCUACGGGAGAAAGCAGGGGAUCACUUGUGACCUUGCGCUAAUAGAUGAGCCUAAGUCGGAUUAGCUAGUUGGUGGGGUAAAGGCCUACCAAGGCGACGAUCUGUAGCGGGUCUGAGAGGAUGAUCCGCCACCCUGGGACUGCGACACGGCCCAGACUCCGACGGGAGGCAGCAGUGGGGAAUAUUGGACAAUGGGGGGAACCCUGAUCCAGCCAUGCCGCGUGUGUGAAGAAGGCCUUAUGGUUGUAAAGCACUUUAAGCGAGGAGGAGGCUCUUUUGGUUAAUACCCAAGAUGAGUGGACGUUACUCGCAGAAUAAGCGCCGGCUAACUCUGUGCCAGCCGCCGCCGUAA